AGUGAACGCUGGCGGCGUGCUUAAUACAUGCAAGUCGAACGGACGAGUAAGAGCUUGCUCUUAUGAGUUAGUGGCGCACGGGUGAGUAAUGUAUAGCUAAUCUGCCCUACACUAGAGGACAACAGUUGGAAACGACUGCUAAUACUCUAUACUCCUGUCUGACAUAAGUUAGAUAGGGAAAGUUUUUCGGUGUAGGAUGAGGCUAUAUUGUAUCAGCUAGUUGGUGAGGUAAUGGCUCACCAAGGCUAUGACGCAUAACUGGUUUGAGAGGAUGAUCAGUCACACUGGAACUGAGACACGGUCCAGACUCCUACGGGAGGCAGCAGUAGGGAAUAUUGCUCAAUGGGGGAAACCCUGAAGCAGCAACGCCGCGUGGAGGAUGACACUUUUCGGAGCGUAAACUCCUUUUGUUAGGGAAGAACAAGACGGUA
This 431-nucleotide ribosomal RNA is filed under the name Campylobacter concisus. Its description in RNAcentral is "bacterial SSU rRNA". It matches the Rfam family "Bacterial small subunit ribosomal RNA", at positions 29 to 459 of the family's 1533-position model. The record is from RNAcentral. Lineage: Bacteria; Pseudomonadati; Campylobacterota; Epsilonproteobacteria; Campylobacterales; Campylobacteraceae.